Molecule: long non-coding RNA, 5178 nt
Organism: Oncorhynchus keta (chum salmon)
Lineage: Eukaryota; Metazoa; Chordata; Actinopteri; Salmoniformes; Salmonidae
Exons: 2
Source: RefSeq, a predicted model, not a curated record
GAGAGGAGAAGAGAGAGACAGAGGAAUGAGAAACAAACAAGAUAACUACGUACGUAUUUGCGAAACUAUUAUAUAUGCAAUAAAAUGCAAGUAGCAAAGAGGUACAGUAUGUUGAAAGUAAAGAAAUCAUGUAAAAAACAACAGUAGAAGCAGACAGGCAGAGACAAAUGUACUACUGUACUUGACUUGUGCUAAACAAUAGCUGAGAUUAGUUCUUUGGGAGCAAUGCCAUUGAAUGCAUCUGAGGUCACCCCCAAUUGUCUUGUGUGCAACACAAUGUCCCCCUUCAGAUGCUCCGCAAAGUGUCCGUGACAACAACACAAUUAACCCCCUUGUCCCAACCAAUGGCAGAUGACACGGUUGUCGGCGUGGCAGCCUUUGUUCAGUAUGGGCUUCCAGGUCCUGUCCGUCCCUUGGUCUGAUCCCUGUAAGGAACCAGCCGGCAUCAGAGUAUGACCAAUACGACCCCCCCCCCCCUCUCUAUACACGGUGGUCUGAUCUAUUUAGGACAGCUGUAGCCACUGAUUUAGUUUGGUUGAUGACCUCAAGAUUUCACUGCACAUCCCACUGAGAGCUAAGCGCAAGAGGCUAUGCUGUGCCUGCUGAGUGUAAGCUAAGAGAGAGUCCAGGCACAGACUAGGGCUGACUGCCUCUUGUUCCAUGGGAAACACUAGCAUCACGGAGGGCAAGACUGCCCUGGCAGUGGGCAAAACUUCCAUAGCCAGGGGCAAGACCACGGUCGCGAUGGGCAACACCUCCGUCUCCAGAGGAGUGACCACCACCUCCAUGGGGGACUCCACCAUCAGUAGGGAGAAGACCACAGUAGCUCUUGGCGGAGCUAGUUUCACCAGGGGAACCACCACCACCUCCUUUCGGAAGGCUCUGAUGCCAAAGCGCAGGACCACCUAGAAUAAAUGGACAGGAGCUCAGACGCCACGUCCAAGACUCCCAAAGCAACCAGGACAUCAAAAAAAGACUUGACUGAAGAGGAGGAGUGGAAAGUCACGUUCCUGUCCAGCAAGACUAGCUUCACUAAGGGCAGGAUCUUGAUUCUGAAGACUAAGUACGCCAUCUCCUGGGGCAAGUCCUCUGUCUCGUGGAGCAGAACCACCGCUACCCUGGGAAAGAUCACUGUGACCAUGGGAAAGACCUCCGUGACACGAGACCAGACCACCAGCUCUCUGACCACUCUCACCUUCACCCAUGGAGAGAAGUCUGUGUCUGUGGUCAAAUCCAGCCUCACUAGGGGCAGACAAACUACACGGAACAUCUACUGGGAUUUCCACCUGUGAUUCUUGCAUACGGUUUCACUCAAAACAGAGGGACUUUUAUCUGCUCAGUUUCAGCAGGUCAGUUGUAGCUUAAAUCAUGUCCAUUUGUAAUCAAUUAUUCCAUGUGUCUGAUCAAUGUGCAGCAUUCUGCAGCUCCAGUGUCAAUGAAGCAUUCAUGUUUUCGAAGAAAAACAUUGAGCACGUCUUUCAAAAUGAAUCCCACAUGAUGAGGAUGUGUUACGGAUCUAACAGGCUUGAAAUCAGAUAUUCCGAUGCGUGACAGAGGAGAUGAGGUUGGUGGUGUGUUGGCAGGGAGGGAGGCAGGAGGACACAGCUGUGUGUGGUGUAUGUGGAGACACUGGACAGAGCAUGUGUCAUCAUUAGUGUGCUGUUCAACAGAGAACCUCAACGGUAAUUCUCUGAGGCAAAAAUACAGUUUAAAUGUCCCCAUUUGUUAUAAAACAACAAUUUGCAUGCUGAUUAAAUUGGUCUGUUUCAAGGUUGAACACAUUACAAUUACUAUGCUAUGUUCAGUUUAUAAAGGACGGUCUUAAACUAGGAAAUAUGUCUGUCAUAACUGAUUGAUUGAUGUAACCUGAUGCUUAUAAAAUAACUGCUUCAACACGGCUUGGCUUGAUUUUGUUUGUUUGCAAAUUUGACAUAUUAUAUAACAUACAAGUACUAGGAAACAAAUGGUAUGUACUGUCCUGAAGUGGAAUAAUGAAUUAUUUUCAUACUAAAGGACAAGGACCAUAGACAAAUGGAAUAGAAGAUUAUCUGAUCAUCUCUAGAUGGAAUAGACCAUUUUAUGGACACAGACACUUGGGAAAAUCCUAAGAGCCACACCCAUAUUGGAGACUGAAGCCACAUUGCACAUUUGAGACGAGAGGUCAUAGGUCAUUGAUGAACAUGAACUUACGUCAACAUCCUUGCCUUUAUAAUAAUGUCUCACAUGAUAUGUUUCAUGAUGCACAUGUUCUAUACAGCUUCACACAGAACUAAGGACUUACAAUCAGGGGAUAUAGGCAACAAUGCCGCAGGAUCAAGUGAUGUCACCACAUAUUGUCCUCUCCUCUGGGCAACAAUGUCUCCUUCAGCCGCGUCGUGGUGGUGAUGGGACAAUCGUUCCACUGUACCAAGCCCUCAGAUAGGCUACAGCCACCUACGGCUGCCUCUGUCCAAUCACAGGGACACAUGGGUGGUAUGUGGCCUUCCAGAGCCCACGUCUAUAAGCUCAACGAAGGCAUUAUGUGACACGGGGGUAGCACUAUCCACGCUUAGCAUUCUGGUCUACUCUGGACUCUCGUUACUGUUACUAUCACAACCAAGCUUUACUGAGCGAGGUGUGCUGCAUGAGCGUGCAAUGUGUCGCGCCGAGUGAACCCCAAAAUCCACCACCUCAGCAGGGUCAGGAAUUCAACCUUCUUCUCAAUGGGCAACACCAGCAUCACCGAGGGGAAGACGGCCCUCUCCCUGGGAAACACCACUAUCAAGAGGGGCAAGACCAAGCUCACUGUGGGCAACUCGUCUAUCACCAGGGGCAAGAAGACCACUUCUCUGGGCACCUCCACCAUCGCCAGUGCCAAGACCAAGCUCACUAUGGGCAAUGCCUCCUUCAGCAGGGGCACCACCACCACCUCGUUUCGAAAAGCCUUUUUCGCCAAACGCAAGACCCUCUAGAUGAGAGGGGACAUCAUUGGGUGGAUGGACUGGUGGCUAACUCAACAAAACGUAAAGACAACAUACAACAACAACAUCACAGGGGACAUAAGGACAUCACCGCAACAUCUACACAGGCUGUAUCUAAACUGACUUCUAAAACACUGGAUUAUUUUGCUUUGGACCAUUUUACUGUUUUGAUCAAACAGGAUUUUAUCGAGGAAACAGGUUCAACGUGUUGGCACCAACAGUGUUCAUCCAGUCAUGGACCUCGUCAUGAGAGCUCUUAGGCCAGAAUAUGCAACAAAGUAAAAUAUCAACUGGCCUGUAACAAGAUUCCCUAGUGAUAGCUGUUUCUCCUGGUUUGGCCUCUUUCAAUAAGGUAAAAUAGCAGCUAUUGGUACAGUCUGUUUCUCUCAGAUGAACCAAGUACAGAUGACACUCUGGUCCCGCCAUGUUUUAAAAACAUAUGUAGCCCAUAGCAACAGCUAUACUGUUAUGUAAGACUUAUUUUAUUCUUGACAUUUUAUUAUUAUUCUGGCCAUGGUAAAUACUUAUAAAUGAAAGCCAGCUUAAGGCAUGUGCGGUAUCUCCUUCUAAAGUUAUUUUUUUCUCAGGACAUGAAAAGUUCAUGGUGCCAAGUUCCAACUGAGAUUUCUUCAGUCAUUUUCAAACACACAUCAAAAUAGUACAUGAAUAAAUGAGACUUUUCCACUUGGAGACUACCAGCUGGACCAUACUGUAUAUCUAUGACCUCUGCUGACUUAACUAUUGACCUAAGACCUUUGACCCAGGGAAGCAACAAUAGUUCCCUGUGAUGUUGAGAGUAUUUCCAGAUUUCCGUCACUGUACUGUCUAUUGCUGUGCAUGGAAAUCUCUGUCAUCAAAAUAAGUUGAGUCGAUGAAACAUGAUGUAAUGGGGAGCUCACUUUGACACAUCAGAUCACUGCAUUUUAGAAGUCACUAUAUCUUGGCUUUGGUGUCAAAAAUAGGGCCAACCCAUGAGAUGUGCCAUCCCAGAGUAAGCCUACUAGUAUUACUGAACCCUACUAUAUCAAUAUAGCACUAAAACAACCAUGUUAAUGACUUGGAGGAAGAGCUUUGAAUGAGAGUGCGAUGCCACUUUGGCAAAAAUCCAUUAUGAUCCCUGAUGACAAAUUGGCAUGGGGAUGAAGUACUGGGUCCAGCAUUUCACCAAGGGUAAACAGAUUCAAAUUCAGUAAUCAAGAACAACUCUGAAUGUUCUAUUAUCAUACACAAAUAGGCCUCAAAACAAGGAUUUACUUCCAAAAAAAAUUAAAAAUAGGAAAUCCAAACAUGUUAAUCUAUGUGUGCCGAAAUGUGUAUGUUGUGAUAGUGGAGGAAAUGUUUUGUAUUCAAAUUGAAAAUAUAUACACGUGCACUAGUGUUAGAAGAAGGAUCAUGCUUGGGCUGGUGUGCUAACUGAACACUAAUUUGGGCUUCGUUGGGAGGGAUGGCUAAUGAUCUGAAGAUAACUGUGUCCAUAUCAGUCAAACCUUUUUCAUGACUCCCUCCAUUACUCUUGGCAUUAGUCUGGGGCACAGCCCUGCUCUGCCCUGCUGGUAGCCCUUCCUACACAAUGACACACACACACACAACAUCAGCCUGACUCUAUGCACAGCCAGAGGUCCUGAGGUCACAAACAUUCACAACCUUUGUCAACUUGAACACCACCUGGGAUAAGGGCUGUCAUUGGCUGACACAUGGAAGUAUUAUACACGUCUGUCUGGCAGGAAAAGAGGCCUCUAUGACUUACAGCCCAUCUUAGACUGCACAAUACAAAAGGUAGACUUGACAUCGACACAGAUGCUUUCAGAUAUUCAAAGCCUGGGGAAUACAUGUACUACCCUUGCAAUAAACUUAAUUCAUAGCUCUCAUUGAAAAGUAAUUCAUGUCUUUCCCAGUGGAGACAACUGUAUGAUUAGCAUUACUGAUGAAAAACUGUUGUGAACAUUUUUUGUUUUGUUUUGUGUCCUGUGCCUGUGUCUUUAAAUGUCUUGGAUUAAAUGUUCUUGGCACGGUCAGUGUAUGAAAAAUGACCGAACUGCAACAAACGUCUCUUUGUUCUCUCGCUAAUCCUUCCUGGAGUCUGAAGUCUGUGUCUUUGAAAACAUUCUUUAUGGUCAUGAUCCAUGUCUGUUCUAUGUGUUCUAUUACACUAUGUUCCACUAAAUGCAGACAGAACCCUUGACAGAGAGGUGCUGUAAUAAAAAAGUGCUUGAUCGUG